GACGAACGCUGGCGGCGUGCUUAACACAUGCAAGUCGAACGAUGAACCCGGAGCUUGCUCCGGCGGAUUAGUGGCGAACGGGUGAGUAACACGUGAGUAACCUGCCCUUGACUCUGGGAUAACUGCUAGAAAUGGUAGCUAAUACCGGAUACGACCCUCGGUGGCAUCACCAGGGGGUGGAAAGAAUUUUGGUGAAAGAUGGACUCGCGGCCUGUCAGCUAGUUGGUGAGGUAACGGCUCACCAAGGCGACGACGGGUAACCGGCCUGAAAGGAUAGCCGGCCACACGGGAACUGAUACACGGCACAGACUCCUACGGGAGGCAGCGGUGGAGAAUAUUGCACAAUGGGCGCAAGCCUGAUUCAGCAACGCCGCGUGAGGGAUGACGGCCUUCGGGUUGUAAACCUCUUUUAGUAGGGAAGAAGCGAAAGUGACGGUACCUGCAGAAAAAGCACCGGCUAACUACGUGCCAGCAGCCGCGGUAA
Molecule: ribosomal RNA, 484 nt
Filed under: uncultured bacterium
Lineage: Bacteria
Description: partial 16S ribosomal RNA
Rfam family: Bacterial small subunit ribosomal RNA
Source: RNAcentral